Molecule: non-coding RNA, 515 nt
Organism: Oryzias latipes (Japanese medaka)
Lineage: Eukaryota; Metazoa; Chordata; Actinopteri; Beloniformes; Adrianichthyidae
Source: RefSeq, a predicted model, not a curated record
AUGAACCUUGUCGGCGCAUCCCGGGGAGAGGAGGACGUGGAUGUUUUCGGUUAUUUAAAAGUGCUCCAUACAACUGAAAUGAGACAGAUGGGACAAAAGCCUUCAUUUAAUAGGUAAACGUGCCUCUGCUCUGAUUCUCCGCAGCGCGCCACUGUGUGACCCUGUGAACUUGACUCGAAAAUGCAUCUUUAUGGGUCUCCAAACACCCCUCCACAUCCCUGUUCUUGUUUGCACUGGCUUGCCCAAGCAGGAAGUGACAUCAACUCAUCCAAACUAAAAAUAUGUCGCAGGAGGAGCUGUCUAGGAUGUCCAGGACCGGUAUUUGCAGGGACGGAUGCCUCGCACCGGCUCCACAGACAGAGUGAUGCUAUUUGCUGGAUGUUGGGGGAAGAAAGCGCCGCACACGCGAGGCAGAGAUUUCUAUCAAGGGUAUCUGCUGAAAAAUGCUGUCUGCCAUCAACUCAUAUCUGAGGAGGAUUACAGAACAUUUGGGGGCAAUGUAAAAGCUCAGAAUU